UCCAGGGUAGCCUAGUGGACAUGGCAUCUGGCCGGUAAGCGGAACGUUGUGGGUUCGAUUCCCAUCCUUGAAC
Molecule: transfer RNA, 73 nt
Filed under: Cordylochernes scorpioides
Lineage: Eukaryota; Metazoa; Arthropoda; Arachnida; Pseudoscorpiones; Chernetidae
Description: tRNA-Thr
Rfam family: tRNA
About the family: Transfer RNA (tRNA) molecules are approximately 80 nucleotides in length. Their secondary structure includes four short double-helical elements and three loops (D, anti-codon, and T loops).
Source: RNAcentral